This 767-nucleotide ribosomal RNA is filed under the name uncultured Bacilli bacterium. Its description in RNAcentral is "bacterial SSU rRNA". It matches the Rfam family "Bacterial small subunit ribosomal RNA", at positions 28 to 776 of the family's 1533-position model. The record is from RNAcentral. Lineage: Bacteria; Bacillati; Bacillota; Bacilli.
GACGAACGCUGGCGGCGUGCCUAAUACAUGCAAGUCGAGCGGACCGACGGGAGCUUGCUCCCUUAGGUCAGCGGCGGACGGGUGAGUAACACGUGGGUAACCUGCCUGUAAGACUGGGAUAACUCCGGGAAACCGGGGCUAAUACCGGAUGCUUGAUUGAACCGCAUGGUUCAAUCAUAAAAGGUGGCUUUUAGCUACCACUUGCAGAUGGACCCGCGGCGCAUUAGCUAGUUGGUGAGGUAACGGCUCACCAAGGCGACGAUGCGUAGCCGACCUGAGAGGGUGAUCGGCCACACUGGGACUGAGACACGGCCCAGACUCCUACGGGAGGCAGCAGUAGGGAAUCUUCCGCAAUGGACGAAAGUCUGACGGAGCAACGCCGCGUGAGUGAUGAAGGUUUUCGGAUCGUAAAACUCUGUUGUUAGGGAAGAACAAGUACCGUUCGAAUAGGGCGGUACCUUGACGGUACCUAACCAGAAAGCCACGGCUAACUACGUGCCAGCAGCCGCGGUAAUACGUAGGUGGCAAGCGUUGUCCGGAAUUAUUGGGCGUAAAGCGCGCGCAGGCGGUUUCUUAAGUCUGAUGUGAAAGCCCCCGGCUCAACCGGGGAGGGUCAUUGGAAACUGGGGAACUUGAGUGCAGAAGAGGAGAGUGGAAUUCCACGUGUAGCGGUGAAAUGCGUGGAGAUGUGGAGGAACACCAGUGGCGAAGGCGACUCUCUGGUCUGUAACUGACGCUGAGGCGCGAAAGCGUGGGGAGCGAACAGG